Molecule: RNA transcript, 4347 nt
Organism: Brachypodium distachyon (stiff brome)
Lineage: Eukaryota; Viridiplantae; Streptophyta; Magnoliopsida; Poales; Poaceae
Gene name: zinc finger MYM-type protein 1-like
Exons: 5
Source: RefSeq, a predicted model, not a curated record
CUACCACAGAUUUCCACGGUGCAUACGCUGGUACUAAUGAGCUUAAGGUGCUAAACUAAUGAGCGUAAGGUGCUAAUGGCCGGAACUAAUUAAGUAGCUAACCCAAUACAUACCCAGAAAAAGGCCCAAGAAAAAGAAAAAAAGCCCACAAGUGCCCACUACGGCUGAUUACGUGAGAAUCGGGCAAUCGGCAGCAGCAGGGCAUCCGGCCGGUACGUGAUCGAUCUGUUCCCUGCCGUCACCAGUUCUCUUCCUCUGUUCUUCUUCAUCUCCAGACGACGGACGACUAGACCAGACACUGCAGCUUGGGAGACGAUCGAUUGAUCGAGUCGCCGGAGGCCGGAGCCGGACGCACGUACAGGUAAGUAACUUGCUCGUUCUUUAAUUAUCUAGAUGAUUAGGCAAUCAACUAAUCAUCAAUUCAUCAACAAAUAUUCCUAUUAUUAAUAGAUGAAGAGGAAGAAUCAGGGGUCUGGAAAGACGCCAUCAAUAUCAUGUUCGUACAAACCAGUACCAGUUGCUUCAAAUUCAAGCUCUAGUAUUCUUGCUGUUUAGAAUAUUGUAGUAUCAUCUGAAGAGGAAAACGCAAACCCAUCUGAGGAAGAGCAUCCAUCUGUAGAUCAUAACUCAACUGAUAAUCCAAUUGAUAUGCAAACUGAUGAUCAGAAUAUUGUAGCAUCCGUGGAAGUUUCAGAACAGGCUAGAGUAGGAAGUACAGCAUAUGAACGGGAUCCGGGUAAACGCCAACAGAUUUGGGAACUCCCUCUGGAUAAGCAAGAAGAAGCGCGCCGAUUUUAUAUUUCAGAGGGCCCUUUCAGCCAUACAUGGCCAAUUAUCCGUAUAAUGAACAUCGUCGUCGAUUCCAAUAUAGCUAUUUCACUAAUUUUCCUUGGCUAGAGUAUUCACUUGUUAAACAUCAUGCAUAUUGCCUGCCUUGUUUCCUCUUCACAAGAAAGCCAAAUGGUAGAUGUGGCUCGGAUACAUUCACAGUUGAUGGAUUUUCGAACUGGAAGAAGGUGAAUGCUGGAAAAAAUUGUGCUUUCUUAACUCACAUGGGCAAAGAUUCAAACUCUGCUCAUAACUUUUCGGUUCGAUCGUUUCAUAGUCUGAAAAAUAGUAUGACUCAUAUCGACAAGGCGAUUGUACAAGCAUCUGCAAAAAUGAUUGGAAAUGCAAGGCAAAGGCUUAAAGUUACAAUUGAUUCCAUCAGGUGGUUAACAUUCCAAGCUUGUGCUUUUAGAGGCCAUGAUGAAUCUCCGGGAUCCAUAAAUCAGGGUAAUUUUCUUGAAUUGAUAAAGUUAUUGGCUUUGUAUAACAAGGAGGUGAAUGAGGUUGUCCUACAAAAUGCUCCACGCAAUGCUAAGUACACAUCUGGAGAGGUUCAACAAGAAAUUCUUCAGUUACUAUCUCGUAGAGUGCAGAAAAAUAUUAUAGAAGAAAUUGGUACUAGCAAGUUCUGUAUAAUGGUGGACGAAGCUCGAGAUGAAUCCAAAAAAGACCAGAUGGCAUUGGUCAUUCGAUUUGUUAACAAGGAAGGGUUUAUAAAGGAGCGGUUCCUCGAUGUUAUUCAUGUAAAAAACACGGUUGCAUCGACUCUGAAGGAUGCAAUUUGUGCUGUCCUUGUCGAUAAUAAUCUGAAUGUGCAAGAUAUCAGAGGACAAGGAUACGACGGGGCAAGCAACAUGAGAGGGGAAUGGAAUGGACUGAAGGCUCUUAUUCUGAACGAGUGCCCUUAUGCAUAUUAUGUCCAUUGCAUGGCUCAUCAGUUACAGUUGGCUCUUGUUGCAGCAUCAAGAGAAGUGCCUGAUUUGCACAAUUUUUUUCAGCAUGCAAAUUUCAUCAUAAAUGUGGUUAGUGCGUCGUCUAAACGCAAUGAUGAGUUACUUGCAAAACAAGCUAUUGAGAUUGCACGUGAAAUUGAAUUGGGAGAGCUCGAUACAGGCAAAGGGGCAAAUCAAAUAGGCUCUUUACAGAGAACAGGGGACACUAGAUGGAGCUCUCACUUCAAGUCAAUUCACAGCUUGCGAAAGAUGUUUGGUGCUACAAUUGCAGUCCUAAGGAGUAUAGCAACGGAUCAUUCCGUCUCACAAUAUUCUAGAGGAGAUGCUGCAGGAGCCCUAAAGAUAAUCAUCUCUUUUGAUUUUGUUUUUAUUCUGCACCUCAUGGAGAAAAUUAUGAAGAUAACAGAUGUCUUGUGUCAAAUACUCCAAAAGAAAUCUGUUGACAUAUUGAAUGCAUUAAAUUCUGUCUCAAACACCAAGGCGCUUAUUGGUAAGCUAAGGAAAGAUGGUUGGGAACCUCUUAUGGAGGAGGUUAAAUCUUUUUGUCUGAAGCAUGAGAUUGAUAUCCCAGAUUUGAACAACAAGUAUGUUGAUGUGACUAAGUCUCGGAAAAAACAUGAUAACACAACAACACUCCACCACUAUAAAGUAGAUGUGUUCCACGUUGCCAUAGAUCAACAAGUGGUGGAGCUCAAUAAUCGAUUUGGUGUUCAAAGUACAGAGCUUCUGACACUGUGUGCAUCCUUGGAUCCAAGACUUGACUCUUUUGACAUAUCAAAUAUAUGUUCUUUGGUGGAAAAGUUUUAUCCGGCUGAUUUUUCUACCCAAGAACGAGCUCAACUGGAGUCUCAGCUGCCACAUUUCCAAUUGGAUGUCUGCAACCAUCCGGAACUAAAAUGCGUGCCUUCACUUGCUGAUUUGACAGUUGGUCUAGCUAAAACAGGUAAAUUUGAUGCAUACUCGAUGGUUGAUAGGUUAUUGUGCUUGGUCAUAACUCUACCAGUGUCAACCGCAACCACCGAGCGAGCUUUUUCAGCUAUGAAACUGAUCAAGACGCGUCUUCGAAAUAAAAUGGGAGAUAACUUUCUUCGACACUACAUGAUCGUCUAUAUUGGGAAGGAAUUAGCUAGAAAAGUCACCUCCGAUAAGAUCAUUGACUUGUUCGAUGAGCUUGGUAGUCGUAGAGUUAAAUUUAAGCUCAUAGAAAUUUAGUUUCUUUUGUUCUUGCACACAUUUGUUGCUAUACUUUCUAUCGAUAUACUACAUUGAGACUCUUUAUAUUGAGACUUUAUAUAUUGGUAUUUUUAUCUAUACUUUGUGUUUUCAGUUUUUCGCCCCCCUCAUAUUCAAAUCCUGGCUCCGCCCCUGACUAUAUUCUAUCACAACUCUUAGUACAUUGUUUAGAUUAAUGUAAUGGAUGGUACUGGCACAUAAGACAUUUUGUUGGCUUGCUGUAUUGAUGUACUGUACUUAAAUUAGUAUUAGUACUUGGCCAUUAGUUGAGUACUUUGACAUAAGUAAUUGCAGCAGGCAAUGAAACUUUUGUUGUUACAUUGAUUUUUGGUAGGUAAUCUCACAAGUUGACAUGAAAAUAGUAUAAUGGUUGAUGUACUUACCUAAUCAGUUGCAUUCUUAAUACACAAGAAUACUAUGGCACUAGUACUUAAAUUUGUUGGCAAAAGUACUUGAUGUAUACAAGUUGUGUUUCAUAUAGUUAUUAUAAGAGUGGGAAAAUAUUAUCCACUUUGUUUUCCCUCCAACUUAUCAUUACAGGUACCUAUGUUUCCAACAUACAUGUUUUUGUUGUUCCAGUCAUCUUCUGAAUGUAGUGCUAUUGUGUGAAGGGGUAACCAUCAGUCUGGAAGUACCAAUUUGUACUGAAUAUGAUUUCAUAUGUACUGUACUUUUAAUUGCCAGGUAUAUCUUCUUCAUAGGAAUAUUAUCAGAAGUUUUGAGCCCUGAUUGAUAACAAAAGUUUGUUCUGAAGGUGAGUUGCACAAUCUCGAUACUACGAAUGAGCCUGAGGCUCCUAUCUUUGACAAGACACCUCAAUGCCUCACAAAAGUUUUUAUUAACUUUGCUGAGAACAGCAGUGAUAAGAAGAUAGCAGCGGGGCGAACCUGAUGGAGCCAUAGGAGAGAAAGAUGCAUCAGAAUCUUCGGUUGAGGCCUUAGGGGUGAAGGUGUACCAGAGAAGGAAGUUGUCUAGGAAAAUAUACAACAUAGUACUUAAAAAGGCCGAAGAAGGUACUGCUGCCCUGCUAAGUGAAGGAGGAAGUACUUUUUAGAAGAAAGGCCAAGAUCAUAUAUUCUUCAUGCAUAAUGUGUGCAGGAAUGUCUUUAAGUUAAGCAGAGUUAAGAAUGGAUGUUGCGAAACUGAGGCCGAGAUCUUAUUUUGUUGUAAUGAUGGUACUAUAUGGCAGUUCAGUACUUUGGCUAAAUUGUGAACUGUAAUGAAGUCAGUGUGCACUUUAAUUGUUCGUCCGAGGUCCAUAAUGUGUCAUACAUUUGUAUGGAUGUUAUUUCAAAUGCCCUUUGAGAACUAUAUGAUUGUUCGAUAAUUAGCA